UGCGCAGGCGGAAUGAUUAGUCAGUGGUGAAAUCCUACAGCUCAACUGUAGAACUGCCAUUGAUACUGUCAUUCUUGAGUAAAGUGGAAGUGGGCGGAAUGUAUCAUGUAGCGGUGAAAUGCAUAGAUAUGAUACAGAACACCGAUAGCGAAAGCAGCUCACUAUACUGUAACUGACGCUCAGGCACGAAAGCGUGGGGAGCAAACAGGAUUAGAUACCCUGGUAGUCC
This 229-nucleotide ribosomal RNA is filed under the name uncultured bacterium. Its description in RNAcentral is "partial 16S ribosomal RNA". It matches the Rfam family "Bacterial small subunit ribosomal RNA", at positions 568 to 796 of the family's 1533-position model. The record is from RNAcentral.